Molecule: ribosomal RNA, 1007 nt
Filed under: Enterobacteriaceae bacterium
Lineage: Bacteria; Pseudomonadati; Pseudomonadota; Gammaproteobacteria; Enterobacterales; Enterobacteriaceae
Description: bacterial SSU rRNA
Rfam family: Bacterial small subunit ribosomal RNA
Source: RNAcentral
AAGUCGAACGUAGCACAGAGAGCUUGCUUUUGGGUGACGAGUGCGCAGGGGUGAGUAAUGUCUGGGAAACUGCCCGAUGGAGGGGGAUAACUACUGGAUACGGUAGCUAAUACCGCAUAACGUCUCAAGACCAAAGUGGGGGACCUUCGGCCGUCACACCAUCGGAUGUGCCCAGAUGGGAUUAGCUAGUAGGUGGGGUAAUGGCUCACCUCGGAGACGAUCCCUAGCUGGUCUGAGAGGAUGACCAGCCACACUGGAACUGAGACACGGUCCAGACUCCUACGGGAGGCAGCAGUGGGGAAUAUUGCACAAUGGGCGCAAGCCUGAUGCAGCCAUGCCGCGUGUAUGAAGAAGGCCUUCGGGUUGUAAAGUACUUUCAGCGGGGAGGAAGGCGGUGGAGUUAAUAACUUCACGAUUGACGUUACCCGCAGAAGAAGCACCGGCUAACUCCGUGCCAGCAGCCGCGGUAAUACGGAGGGUGCGAGCAUUCAAUCGGAAUUACUGGGCGUAAAGCUGCACGCAGGCUGUGUCUGUCAUAGUCGGAUGUGAAAUCCCCGGGCUUAACCUGGUAACUGCAUUCGAAACUGGCAGGCUAGAGUCUUGUAGAGGGGGGUAGAAUUCCAGGUGUAGCGGUGAAAUGCGUAGAGAUCUGGAGGAAUACCGGUGGCGAAGGCGGCCCCCUGGACAAAGACUGACGCUCAGGUGACAGAAAGCGUGGGGAGCAAACAGGAUUAGAUCACCCUGGUAGUCCACGCCGUAAACGAUGUCGACUUGGAGGUUGUUCCCUCUGAGGAGUGGCUUCCGGAGCUAACGCAGUUAAGUCGCACCGCCUGGGGAGUACGGCCGCAAGGUUAAAACUCAAAGUGAAUUGACGGGGGCCCGCACAAGCGGUGGAGCAUGUGGUUUAAUUCGAUGCAACGCGAAGAACCUUACCUACUCUUGACAUCCAGAGAAUCUUAGCAGAGAUGCUUUGGUGCCUUCGGGAACUCUGAGACAGGUGCUGCAUG